AAUGAACGUUGGCGGCAUGGAUUAGGCAUGCAAGUCGAGCGAGAAGUGUAGCAAUACACGGAAAGCGGCGGAAGGGAGAGUAAUACGUGGGAAUCUGCCCUUAGACCUGGGAUAGCAGCGGGAAACUGCUGGUAAUACCAGAUAAUGUCUAUGGACCAAAGGUGUGAUUCCGUCUAGGGAUGAGCCCACGUCCUAUUAGCUAGUUGGUAGGGUAAUGGCCUACCAAGGCGAUGAUGGGUAGCGGGUGUGAGAGCAUGACCCGCCUCACUGGGACUGAGACACUGCCCAGACACCUACGGGUGGCUGCAGUCGAGAAUCUUCGGCAAUGGGCGCAAGCCUGACCGAGCGAUGCCGCGUGCGGGAUGAAGGCCUUGGUUGUAAACCGCUGUCGAGGGGGAGGCAACUUCCAUAGAGUUAUCUUUAUGAUUGAGUGAUCCCUGGAGGAAGGACGGGCUAAGUUCGUGCCAGCAGCCGCGGUAA
RNAcentral lists this ribosomal RNA (480 nucleotides) under uncultured bacterium. RNAcentral describes it as "bacterial SSU rRNA". It matches the Rfam family "Bacterial small subunit ribosomal RNA", at positions 29 to 523 of the family's 1533-position model. The record is from RNAcentral.